AGUGAACGCUGGCGGUAGGCCUAACACAUGCAAGUCGAACGGCAGCACAGUAAGAGCUUGCUCUUACGGGUGGCGAGUGGCGGACGGGUGAGGAAUACAUCGUAAUCUACUUUUUCGUGGGGGAUAACGUAGGGAAACUUACUCUAAUACCGCAUACGACCUACGGGUGAAAGCAUGGGAUCUUCGGACCUUGCGCGAUUGAAUGAGCCGAUGUCGGAUUAGCUAGUUGGCGGGGUAAAGGCCCACCAAGGCGACGAUCCGUAGCUGGUCUGAGAGGAUGAUCAGCCACACUGGAACUGAGACACGGUCCAGACUCCUACGGGAGGCAGCAGUGGGGAAUAUUGGACAAUGGGCGCAAGCCUGAUCCAGCCAUGCCGCGUGGGUGAAGAAGGCCUUCGGGUUGUAAAGCCCUUUUGUUGGGAAAGAAAAGCAGCAGGUUAAUACGCCGCUGUUAUGACGGUACCCAAAGAAUAAGCACCGGCUAACUUCGUG
This 492-nucleotide ribosomal RNA is filed under the name uncultured bacterium. RNAcentral describes it as "partial 16S ribosomal RNA". It matches the Rfam family "Bacterial small subunit ribosomal RNA", at positions 29 to 507 of the family's 1533-position model. The record is from RNAcentral.